GAGGUUUUAGCUUAAUUAAAGCACCUGUUUUGCAUACAGGAGAUGUGGGGUAGAGUCCCGUAAAUCUUA
This 69-nucleotide transfer RNA is filed under the name Lampadena luminosa. RNAcentral describes it as "tRNA-Ala". It matches the Rfam family "tRNA". From Rfam's summary of the family: Transfer RNA (tRNA) molecules are approximately 80 nucleotides in length. Their secondary structure includes four short double-helical elements and three loops (D, anti-codon, and T loops). RNAcentral also lists the same sequence under 3 other names. The record is from RNAcentral. Lineage: Eukaryota; Metazoa; Chordata; Actinopteri; Myctophiformes; Myctophidae.